This 301-nucleotide ribosomal RNA is filed under the name uncultured bacterium. RNAcentral describes it as "partial 16S ribosomal RNA". It matches the Rfam family "Bacterial small subunit ribosomal RNA", at positions 509 to 807 of the family's 1533-position model. The record is from RNAcentral.
UAGCCGCCGCGGGAAUACAGAGGGUGCGAGCGUUAAUCGGAUUUACUGGGCGUAAAGCGUGCGUAGGCGGCUUCUUAAGUCGGAUGUGAAAUCCCUGAGCUUAACUUAGGAAUUGCAUUCGAUACUGGGAAGCUAGAGUAUGGGAGAGGAUGGUAGAAUUCCAGGUGUAGCGGUGAAAUGCGUAGAGAUCUGGAGGAAUACCGAUGGCGAAGGCAGCCAUCUGGCCUAAUACUGACGCUGAGGUACGAAAGCAUGGGGAGCAAACAGGAUUAGAGACCCAAGUAGUCCCUGUCUCUUAUAC